Molecule: non-coding RNA, 213 nt
Filed under: uncultured Rhizobium sp.
Lineage: Bacteria; Pseudomonadati; Pseudomonadota; Alphaproteobacteria; Hyphomicrobiales; Rhizobiaceae
Source: RNAcentral
CGACGGUUCCCCGACCACGAAGUGAAGGGGAAUAAUAGGGAACACGGUGCGGAAGACCCCAUGAGGGGCCAAGACCGUGGCUGCCCCCGCAACUGUGAGCGGAUUGCCUCUCGUCCCCGGACAUCGAAACGAUGUCGUGCCACUGCGCUUUCGCGCGGGAAGGCAGACGAAAGGCAGAUAUCCGCAAGCCAGGAGACCUGCCGUCGAAAAUUU